GUACACUUCGGCAGCACAUAUACUACAUUUGGAACGAUACAGAGAUUAGCGUAGCCCCUAUGCAAGGAUGACUCUAGUAUUUGUUUGGACUGUGAGAGCAAA
Molecule: small nuclear RNA, 102 nt
Organism: Lepisosteus oculatus (spotted gar)
Lineage: Eukaryota; Metazoa; Chordata; Actinopteri; Semionotiformes; Lepisosteidae
Source: Ensembl